AAUGUAAAUAUGUAAAAGCAAUCAACGUGACGUCCAUAACAUAUGCAGACACACACUCACACACAUUUGCAUUUAAGGAAGUGCAAGUCCGGAAGGCACGGCAGGCUAAUUAGAGUGUAUUCCAAGCCUAUCUCAAAUCAGACCAUUAAGCGAUGUGACACUACAUUCAACAGAGCCAUAGCUAUCGUCCCAAAUGCCACCUUAUUCCCUAUUUAGUACACUACUUUUAACCAGGGCCAUGGGGGCUCUGCUAGAGAAUAGUGCUCAAUACAGGGAAUAGGUUGCCAUUUGGGACACAGAUUUACAGUCAGCAGAGAGAGGAAAACGGAUAUCUAGAGAAUCACACUACUCUUCCUUCCUCUUAUUCUUCCUUCUUUACCUCGUCAUUCAUUCCCCUCUUUCCUGUCCUCUAUGGUGGGGGCCAGGCUAUGGGACCAGACUACGGAGCCAGGCCAGGUGAGAAGUGUCUUUGCAUGGGUCAGUGAACACCGUGCUGGGGGAGGGACCCACAGGGAGAACACCUGCCUGGUGCUGCCCAUCCUCCCUCUCUCUCUCUCGCUCUACCCCUCCUCUCCUCCCCACUCCCCUUCUCCUUUUCUCUCUCUCUCUCUCUCCCUCUACCUCUCCCCUCCUCUCCUCCCCACUCCCCUUCUCCUUUCCUCUCUCUUUUUCUCUCUCUGUCUCUCUCUCUCUCUGCCCUCCACCCUCCCACCCCCUCCACUCCCCUCCUGCUCCACUUGCUUCAGCUGCUAACACAAUCAGGCGCCAGGCGGACAUCUGCCCACCUCUGGGUAAUGGAGCUGUCACUAAUGUAGUCCGUUUACGCCCUGCUCUCAUUUAUGUCUCUCUCUCUCCUCCUCUCUUCCCCUCACACUUCACUCCCUCCUUCCAUCCCUCUGAGCACUGAACUGUAUAACUGCUGAAAUUAUGUCAAACUUUUCUCACCCUCCUCUCACUCCCCCUGUGACUGCCCCUAUGUGACGCAAAUUAAGAUAGUUCUAAUUUAGGCACUGUGAACACCUUGAGAUAUUCUGCAAGAAUCUCAACUGCAUACUCCUCACGUCAUCUCUCCUCUCCUCCUUUUCAAAACCCAUUAGAGUAGAAGGUUAGAGGGGAGGGACAUCUGGCUUUCUCAUCCAAUGGGUUUUGAGAAGGAGGUGAGUAGUGAUGAGAGAGGAUGUAAGGAGUACGCAUUUGAGAUUCUCCCCACCUUCAGCUUUAUGUUAUGUUUUAUGUUACGCUACGUUUUUUUUAUUCAAUACUGAUGAUAAACAAAGACUUUCAAUUAGUGACAGCCAGGGUGAAUCAAUGUGCACUGUAAAGGGAUUAGGGUGCCCUUUGGGAUGCAUCCUGGGUCAGCGGCAGGCCAGAGACUGGGCUCCUCCACCCAGGAAGACUGGGGGUACUCAUCCUCUCCUCUGGUUCUCCUGUGUCUCUUGUGCUCCUGCAUCUGCACUGCUUGCUCUUUGGGGUUUUAUGCUGGGUAUCUGUAAAGCACUUUAACAACUGCUGAUGUAAAAAGGGCUUUAUAAAUACAUUUUAUUGAUUGAUUGAUUGUGUUACAUUAGCUGCCCUGUCCUACUGUGAACUGGAAUGCUCCUCCCUAUAAAUGACUGAAUGACAUCUACUUAGCCAUUGGUAUUCACUUUGAUCUAUAAUUAAAGAAGCAACUCGAAACAACAUAGCUCUAAUAUAAAGAUGUAGGAUCUUAAUUUGAACCAGUUUGCUACAGCAGGAAAAUAAUAAUUCAGCAACAGGAAAUUUGAAUUAUUACGUGGAAUGUUAUUAAUGGGCAUUAAGGGUAAUCAAAUUAAGAUCUUAGAUAUGUAGUUUGUACAAAUAGUAUGUAUCCACUUACAGCUGGACAAAGCUGCAUAUCAUACAAUGAGAUGUGACAAUAUAAAAGCUGUGGAGUAACCUCAAAUAAAUAAACUAUUGUUACACAUUUAGGAUUUAAAUGAUCCUGAGAGAGGCAUUGAUUAGACUGGAAGGCUCUUCAGAGGGACAACAGCCUCUCCUUCACACCAAGGCCAUGGCAGCCAUUGUCAUGCACUCCGCAUUCUCACAUAUAGGCCUGGGAGGCAUUGAAUCUGUUGUGGUUGUUUUUCUCAUUAAAGUGUCAAAUUAUUAUUGUUAUUAUGAACAAUAACAACUAUUUGGAUUAUCCACUUAUGUAUUCAUAUGAAAAUGAAAAUAAGUUUGUGGAAUGAAUUAAGUGUUGUGUUAACUAUUGUGGAGAUGGAUGAUGGGUGCUGGGUGUGGUUUAUUGUACAAUGCACAGUAACAACCUUUAUGCUAUUCUGUCAGAUAGCUCAGUGCUGGACUUAUGUGGAAAGUGGAGACACUUUAAAAUCAGCGUUGAUGAAGGGACAUAAAAGUUACAAUGCAUCUGGAUGACUGUAUAUGUCUGGUAAGAUAAAGUAACACACAAGAGAAAGGAAUGCAUUUCUGCAUUCAGGUCUCUAGCUGCCCUCGCUCAUUAACCUUCAUAUCUGUGGAAAUUACGAGAGUCUGAUUAUAAGGAUGAAUUACAGGUGGAGGAGUGCUAUCUGCAUGCACACCGUUUUCUCUGUAUGUGUUUUAUGAGAGGUUUUAUAUAAGCAGCUGGAGACCGGGAGAUGAGUGGAGAGAAGAGUGGAGAAGGAUCAGAGAGAAGAGUGGGGAGAGGAGCGGAGAGAGGAACGGAGAAGAAGCGGAGAGAGGAACGGAGAGAGGAGCAGAGAGAGGAAAGGAGAAGGAGCGGAGAAGGAGCGGAGAGAGGAGUGGAGAGAGGAGCGGAGAAAAGAGCGGGGAGAGGAGCUGAGAGGAGCGGAGAGAGGAGUGGAGAGAGGAGCGGAGAGGAGCGGAGAGGAGCGGAGAGGAGCGGAGAGAGGAGUGAGGAUCUGGUAAAAAGAUUCACUGGUGAGAGUGCUCUUCUCCAAAGGCCCCUUCAUCUCCAUCUUCGCCAGCGACCCCCACAUCAUCAUCAAGGCCAUCAACCAGAACCUGAACAGCGUGCUCAGGGACUCCAACAUCAACGGCCAUGACUACAUGAGAAACAUCGUCCACCUGUCGGUCUUCCUCAACAGCCGGGGGUUGAGCAGCGCCAGAAAGAUGUGUGUGGCAGCGCCCGCUAACGGAGACACCGGAAACUCAGACGGACCUAUUCAGCUGUGUUGGCUGUACCUACUGACCAGGCUGCAGAAGACACAUUGGCACUGGCUGAUGGUGGUCAUCUGCUCGUGGGGG
This is a long non-coding RNA of Salvelinus fontinalis (brook trout), 3228 nucleotides long. RefSeq lists it as uncharacterized. The transcript has 3 exons. The record is from RefSeq and is a predicted model, not a curated record. Lineage: Eukaryota; Metazoa; Chordata; Actinopteri; Salmoniformes; Salmonidae.